GAUGAAGAACGCAGCGAAAUGCGAUAAGUAAUGUGAAUUGCAGAAUUCAGUGAAUCUUCGAAUCUUUGAACGCACAUUGCGCCCGCCAGUAUUCUGGCGGGCAUGCCUGUUCGAGCGUCAUUUCAACCCUCAGGGCCCUUUUGGACCUGGCGUUGGGGCUCGGCCGCUACCCUGCGGCCGUCCCCGAAAGAUAGUGGCGGUCUCGCUGUAGCCUCCUCUGCGUAGUAGUUACAUCUCGCACUGGAACGCGGCGCGGCCAUGCCGUUAAACACCCCACUUCUCAAGGUUGACCUCGGAUCAGGUAGGAAUACCCGCUGAACUUAAGCAUAUCAAUAAGCGGAGGA
RNAcentral lists this unclassified non-coding RNA (344 nucleotides) under soil metagenome. RNAcentral's name for it is "partial contains 5.8S ribosomal RNA, internal transcribed spacer 2, and large subunit ribosomal RNA". The stretch from base 1 to 120 matches the Rfam family "5.8S ribosomal RNA", at positions 35 to 154 of the family's 154-position model. The record is from RNAcentral.